UACACUACUGAUGGGAAUGUAAAAUGGUGCUGCUGCUUCGGAAAACAGUCUUGCAGUUCCUCAAAUGCUUAAACAUAGAGUUACCAUAUGACCCAGCAAUUCCAUGCUUAGGUUUAUACCCCAGAGAAAUGAAAACUGAUAUCCACAGAAAAACUUGUACAUGAAUGUUUAUAGUAGUGUAGGUAUAAUAGCCAAAAAGUAGAAACAACCCAAAUAUUCAUAAGUUGAUGAAUGGAUAAACAAAAUGUAUAUGUAAUAUUGUUGAAUAUUACUCAUCAAUUAAAAUAAUGAAACACUGAUACAUACUACAACAUGGAUGACCCCUGAAAACAUUAUGCUAAGUAAAAGAAACCAGUUACGGUUUUCUCUGUAUAUAUGCCCUAUAAUUUGAAACGAUAUUUGCACCCCAAUGUUUGUUGCAGCACUAUUCACAGUAGCCAAGACAUGGAAGCAACCUAAAUGUCCAUU
This is a long non-coding RNA of Cervus elaphus (red deer), 468 nucleotides long. RefSeq lists it as uncharacterized. The transcript is spliced from 3 exons. The record is from RefSeq and is a predicted model, not a curated record. NCBI's taxonomy places the organism in Eukaryota, Metazoa, Chordata, Mammalia, Artiodactyla, Cervidae.